CCAAGAAAAUUUCAUUAAAUCCAAAUAGAGCAAUAUAGAAAGUUACACUAAACACUAAAAAAAAAAGAGUAUAAAAAUAGCAAUAAUUACCCACACAAAAAAAAUUGCAUAGUAAAUAUGUGAGUAUUCCAUAUUUUCCCUUUGGAUGUUUACAACAAAAUUGCUCGUUCUUAGAUCCCAUUUCUCAAAGUAGAUUUUUCAGGCUAAUCUUCCGGAAUUAUCUCUUUCCAGACUCCAUCUCCGGCAAUCGCCUCUCCCUUUACAAGAAACUCUACUUUGUUGACUCUCAUUAGCCAACAUAUGAACCACAGAAGACAUGCUUGGUCUAUCAUCUGGAUGUUGUUGCACGCAUAAUAAACCCACUUGAAUUGACCUUAAAACUUGAGAAAUAUUGCAAGAAUCAGCUAACUGCUCAUCAGCUAGUUCCAAGGACCUAUCAUCUUUGUAAAGCUUCCAUGCCUGUAUGAGUUUAGAUCAUAUGGAUCAUGACAAAUUCUAUUUUUGUAAAGAAAAAAAUGAGUUGUGUGUGUAAUACAGGUUAAACAGUGCUUACAUGACCGAGAAGGUUAAGGUUGUGAUCUUGAUGCAUAAAUCCUCUAUUUUUCUUGCCACUCACAAUCUCUAACACCAAUACCCCAAAGCUAAACACAUCUGAUUUUACCGAAAACAUCCCAUCUACUGCAUAUUCAGGGGACAUGUAACCGCUGUGCCAAUAAAACAACACCAUAAGAAUUAAAGAAGCAAAGAUAUCAUAUGAGAGUACAUUGCAUGAUAUUAGAGAUUCUUACUGUGUCCCAACCACAUUGCGUGUUUUUGCUCCCAUCUCAUUUCCUGUAACACUUCUGGCCAUGCCAAAGUCUGAUAUCUUUGGAUUCAUUUCUGUAUCUAGCAAAACAUUGCUUGCUUUAAGGUCUCUAUGAAUAAUCCGUAGUCGUGAAUCUUGAUGGAGAUACAAUAAGCCACGAGCAAUUCCAUUGAUGAUGUUGAAACGCUUUGGCCAAUCAAGUAAUUUGUUCUUUGUUUGGUCUGCAAAAUAAGCUUUCUUGUGAGCAUAUUUUUUCAUGUUAUGACUACUAGAUCAAAUUAUUACUCAUUUUAGCUUGUACAAUAGGUUAGAAAUCCAAACCAAAUAUGUAUGAAUCUAGGCUGUUGGUAGGCAUGUAUUCAUAGAUCAACAUCUUUUCUUCUCCUUGGAUGCAGCAACCCAGAAGUCUCACAAGAUUUCUAUGCUGAAGCUUGGCAAUAUAGAUAACUUCGUUCUUGUAUUCGUCAAUUCCUUGCAUGGAAGUCCUCGACAGUCUCUUCACGGCAAUUUCUUGUCCCUCUUCCAGUACUCCCUAGAAAUGGCAAAUGUAUAAUAGCAGAACAUAGAUUUUACAAAGACUAGAAUAUUGCAGAAUAAAAUCAUUUCUAGCAUAAACUAGUUACCGUUCCAACAAAUUUACACUGUAUACCUUGUAAACAGGUCCAAAUCCACCCUCUCCAAUCUUGUUGUUGAGCGAAAAGUUAUUUGUGGCUCUUGUUAUUGUAGACAAUGGGAACAGUGGCAGUUCAAAAUCUUCUCUGAGUUUCAGUUUCUUCUUUUUGCGCUUGUACCACAACAAAAUCAGGAUUAGCAGAAUCGUUGCCAUCAACAAUGAGAAACUCAGUGCAAGUAUCAUUGCCUUCUUUCUUUUCGAACCUGCCUCAGAUUCUACAAUUAAUUUUUUAAGUCAACCACCGCAAAUCAAGACAGGUCACUAACUUUGCAUUAUAUCAUCUCUAUUUGUUGAAAAAAGAGAGUUAAGAAACACAUGGGAAAUUUCUUAAACAAGUUCUUACCUUCCUCAAUUGAAAAAAAA
Long non-coding RNA from Solanum tuberosum (potato), 1841 nucleotides. RefSeq lists it as uncharacterized. The record is from RefSeq and is a predicted model, not a curated record. The transcript is spliced from 2 exons. Lineage: Eukaryota; Viridiplantae; Streptophyta; Magnoliopsida; Solanales; Solanaceae.